RNAcentral lists this ribosomal RNA (570 nucleotides) under Capra hircus (goat). RNAcentral's name for it is "12S ribosomal RNA". It matches the Rfam family "Bacterial small subunit ribosomal RNA", at positions 9 to 957 of the family's 1533-position model. Lineage: Eukaryota; Metazoa; Chordata; Mammalia; Artiodactyla; Bovidae. The record is from RNAcentral.
CAUAGGUUUGGUCCCAGCCUUCCUGUUAACUCUCAACAGACUUACACAUGCAAGCAUCCACGCCCCGGUGAGUAACGCCCUCCAAAUCAAUUAAGACUAAGAGGAGCAGGUAUCAAGCACACAUCUCGUAGCUUACAACGCCUCGCUUAACCACACCCCUACGGGAGACAGCAGUGACAAAAAUUAAGCCAUAAACGAAAGUUUGACUAAGCCAUGUUGACCAGGGUUGGUAAAUCUCGUGCCAGCCACCGCGGUCAUACGAUUAACCCAAGCUAACAGGAAUACGGCGUAAAACGUGUUAAAGCACUACAUCAAAUAGAGUUAAAUUCUAAUUAAACUGUAAAAAGCCAUAAUUACAACAAAAAUAGAUGACGAAAGUAACCCUACUGCAGCUGAUACACUAUAGCUAAGACCCAAACUGGGAUUAGAUACCCCACUAUGCUUAGCCCUAAACACAAAUAAUUACAGAAACAAAAUUAUUCGCCAGAGUACUACCGGCAACAGCCCGAAACUCAAAGGACUUGGCGGUGCUUUAUACCCUUCUAGAGGAGCCUGUUCUAUAAUCGAUAA